GAGGAUGAGAACCUCCGGGGGCAAGAGGUUCGACUCGAGCGCAGCGAGAGAACGUUGCGUCAGCAACGGCCCGCAGGGCGAGCCACGCAGUGGCGAGUCAUCCUCUAUCACCGACCA
This 117-nucleotide small RNA is filed under the name Salmonella enterica. RNAcentral describes it as "partial RtT sRNA". It matches the Rfam family "RtT RNA", at positions 18 to 130 of the family's 130-position model. Rfam says of the family: This family represents a bacterial cis-regulatory element known as RtT RNA. The exact function of RtT is unknown although it is thought that it may be involved in changing the cellular response in relation to amino acid starvation. RNAcentral also lists the same sequence under 4 other names. Lineage: Bacteria; Pseudomonadati; Pseudomonadota; Gammaproteobacteria; Enterobacterales; Enterobacteriaceae. The record is from RNAcentral.